This 269-nucleotide ribosomal RNA is filed under the name uncultured bacterium. RNAcentral describes it as "partial 16S ribosomal RNA". It matches the Rfam family "Bacterial small subunit ribosomal RNA", at positions 84 to 354 of the family's 1533-position model. The record is from RNAcentral.
AAUCUGUCUUAGUGGCGGACGGGUGAGUAACGCGUGGGCAACCUGCCCUGUACCGGGGGAUAACACUUAGAAAUAGGUGCUAAUACCGCAUAAUAGGGAAUACCGCAUGGUAAUCCUUUGAAAACUCCGGUGGUACAGGAUGGGCCCGCGUCUGAUUAGCCAGUUGGCGGGGUAACGGCCCACCAAAGCGACGAUCAGCAGCCGGCCUGAGAGGGUGAACGGCCACAUUGGGACUGAGACACGGCCCAAACUCCUACGGAAGGCAGCAG